This 253-nucleotide ribosomal RNA is filed under the name uncultured bacterium. RNAcentral describes it as "partial 16S ribosomal RNA". It matches the Rfam family "Bacterial small subunit ribosomal RNA", at positions 524 to 776 of the family's 1533-position model. The record is from RNAcentral.
GACGAACCGUACGAACGUUAUUCGGAAUCACUGGGCUUAAAGGGUGCGUAGGCUGUGCGGAAAGUUGGGUGUGAAAUACCUCGGCUUAACCGAGGAAUUGCGCCCAAAACUACCGUGCUCGAGGGAGAUAGAGGUGAGCGGAACUUAGGGUGGAGCGGUGAAAUGCGUUGAUAUCCUAAGGAACACCGGUGGCGAAAGCGGCUCACUGGAUCUCUUCUGACGCUGAGGCACGAAAGCCAGGGUAGCGAACGGG